AGUGUAAAAUAUUUGUUAUGAAUAUUGCACAAACUUCAAUUCAAGUUUACUUUUUUGGCUUUUUAAUUGAUUUUGAUAAUAUCAUUAGUGAAUUUGCUCUUUUUGAAUUUGAGACCAAUUCACUAAUGAUGUCAACAAUUUCCAUGGAUUGGUGAAUUUCCAUGAAAACUGAAAUCCUAUGGAGUUUCCAUGGGAGAGCCAUGUUUUUUUUUUAAAUAGCUCAUGUUGUACUAAGGGUUUUACAAAUGUGCUUUUAAAGAUGCCGUCGUAAUUAGUAGAGUUCCAAUUAUGUGUAACAUGACAUUUAUUAAAUAAUAUUUUUUGCGUUCUUCUGUUUUUCUGUAUUAUAAGACUAAAUUAUAUGUUUUUUCAUAAUGAAUCAGAUUUAAUAUGAUUCAAACUAAACAUACAGACAUUAACAACUAGACAUAUUUGCAAUAGCUAGAAACGUAUGCAUUUUAUAAUGUAUCAUAGCAUGAUAUUAUCAAAGAUGUUGGUUUCGAGACUUAAAUCUUGGUCCCGAGACAUCUCGAGACUCAUUUAACUGUCUUGGUCUUAAUCUUGGUAUUGAAUCAAAGUGUCUCGGUUUUAGUCUGGUCUUUGCCUUUACUGUCUUUACGUCUCUGAAUAUUAUCAUAUUAUGAUGCAUUGUAAAAUGUAUAUAUUUAUUUUUUACUUAUAUAUUUAAAUACAUAUUAUUUAUGGAUUUACUUAUUUUAGCUCUUGCCACUAGCUUUGCUUACUUUGCAUAACUUAUUUAUUAUUAUUUGCAAUAGUAUAGCAAGUAUGUUGUGUGAAUCAGUUUGAUUUGUAAUGUUUAUUUGGUUUACUACAAAUAUUUUAGCUUUAAUGUACAUUAGAUAGCUAGUGUAUUAGAUAGGCUUAGGUAAGCAGUGUAUUGGACAAGAUUGGAUAACUAAUGUACAAAAGAUAACUUGUCCUUUUUUUUUUUUUAUGGCUUUAGUUUGUAUAAAAUUUUUUUAAGUUAAAACACUUAAAUCUAUGGUAAAUGUUUAUUAAGUAUUGAAAAACUUUAUAUUUUAAUAAAUGUUUUAUUCAAUUUUAGUUCUGUUAUUCAUUAUUCAUUAUUCAUCGUUUAUAUCAUUUAUAACAUUGUCAAUUUUUAUAUACAUUUAAUAUUUUUAUAAAUAAUUCAAAAGCUGUCUGAAAACAAAAUGGUGAAUUGAGUUUGAAUUAACCAGAAAGGAUAUGUGUAAUCUUUGGGAUUCAACCUGUAAUGAUGUUUCCAGAGCAACUUAGUUAGAGAAGGAAAACUACAGCAAUUUUUUAAAAAUAUCUGAAAGGCAGGAAAGUUUGACUGGAAAUAUAAAUGAUGUUGUUCAUCAUGCAGAUAGCUUGGGCGAAAAAGAGGUUGGUGAAAUGGACAAUGAUACUAACUCUGCUGAAAACAAAAAUGAAUAUCAAAAUAUGAAUGGUAAUUUGUUUGACAAUUACCUGGUUCUGCAGUUUCAGUUGGCAGUGCAAUUGCACUUAUAAAUGGUCUUACAAUCGCACUUAUAAAUGGUCUUGAUAUUUUUUUGGAUUAAAUAUGUUGUAUUGAUAAUUCUUUUUAUUUUAUCGAAACUUGAAGUCAUUAUUUAUCAUACUUAUAUACACUAUUUUUAUCAAAUAGUCCUUGUUACUUGUUAUUUUUAUCAGUCAAUUGUUUGUAACUAACUUAUAUGUAUAUUUAGCUAUUGUGUUUAUAAAAACAAGUGACUUUUUAUAUUGAUUAUUAUUACUAUAGUU
Long non-coding RNA from Hydra vulgaris (swiftwater hydra), 1749 nucleotides. RefSeq lists it as uncharacterized. The record is from RefSeq and is a predicted model, not a curated record. Lineage: Eukaryota; Metazoa; Cnidaria; Hydrozoa; Anthoathecata; Hydridae.